Molecule: ribosomal RNA, 518 nt
Filed under: uncultured bacterium
Lineage: Bacteria
Description: bacterial SSU rRNA
Rfam family: Bacterial small subunit ribosomal RNA
Source: RNAcentral
ACGAACGCUGGCGGCGUGCCUAAUACAUGCAAGUCGAACGGUCUUUUCUAUGGAAGCUUGCUUCCACUGAGAAGAUAGUGGCGGACGGGUGAGUAACACGUGGGUAACCUGCCCAUAAGAGGGGGAUAACAUCCGGAAACGGGUGCUAAUACCGCAUAGUUUUCUUGAUCGCAUGAUCGGGAAAGGAAAGACGGCCUUUGUGCUGUCGCUUAUGGAUGGACCCGCGGCGUAUUAGUUAGUUGGUGAGGUAAUGGCUCACCAAGACGAUGAUACGUAGCCGACCUGAGAGGGUGAUCGGCCACAUUGGGACUGAGACACGGCCCAAACUCCUACGGGAGGCAGCAGUAGGGAAUCUUCCGCAAUGGACGAAAGCCUGACGGAGCAACGCCGCGUGAGUGAAGAAGGUUUUUCCGGAUCGUAAAACUCUGUUGUCAGAGAAGAACAAGUUGGAGAGUAACUGCUCCAGCCUUGACGGUAUCUGACCAGAAAGCCACGGCUAACUACGUGCCAGCAGCCGC